Pongo pygmaeus (Bornean orangutan) is the source of this 800-nucleotide long non-coding RNA. RefSeq lists it as uncharacterized. The record is from RefSeq and is a predicted model, not a curated record. The transcript has 4 exons. NCBI's taxonomy places the organism in Eukaryota, Metazoa, Chordata, Mammalia, Primates, Hominidae.
GGAGAAAGAGAUCUGGCCUGCCUACUUCCCGUAAAAAGCAUUCAUAGUGCAAGCCUUUUUAGAAACCUUCAAGCAAGCAGUAUUGCUGAAGGUAAGUUCUGUGAUCUGGAGAAUUUACUGUGAAUCCUACAAUAGAUCUGGAUGGUGCUCGCUUUGGCAGCACACUUACUAGAAUAGAUCUGGAUGAAGACUGGUCACCGUGCUCCUCUAAAAUUAAACUACGAAUUAGAAGACACUAGAAUAUUACUCUGGCUCAUGUGUGGUAAAUGCAUUCUAAGAGGGCAGGAGUGAAAACAAGAAGACCUGUUAGAUCAUGACUACACUACAACAAGUAAAAUCUGAUGGCUAUGGAGCUAUGAGAAAUGACUGGAUUCUACAUGUUUUUGAAGGCACCUGGUAGAGUUCAACUUUCUGGCUCCCUGAAGCUUGCACAGGACCCUGAACUAGUUCUGGCCUUGACCUAUGUAACAAAGAAUUUGGUUUUCACUAUUCAACCAAUGUGAAAAUGACUGCCAACCUUCUACAUGAUCCACAGUCUUAGUCUGUGAUUCUUUUUUGAUGAGAACAGAUCCUUGUGUUUGUACUUGUCUUCGUUUGUUUUUUUUUUCUGUCUCAAGUUACUUCUCUGUUUUUAAGCACAUAAAAUGUAUUUCAACACUUAACAACACAAGAAGUGUAAUCAAGAGCUACAAAAACGUUCCAGCUAAGUUUGCCUUUUGAAGUGAUAACCAAGUAUUGCUACACAGGCAGACCCCCAUGGUAGCUUAAUAGUAUGUUAUAAAAACCCUUUUCAACACUAA